Molecule: ribosomal RNA, 1407 nt
Filed under: Synechococcus sp. MA0707A
Lineage: Bacteria; Bacillati; Cyanobacteriota; Cyanophyceae; Synechococcales; Synechococcaceae
Also listed under: 1 other name
Description: 16S ribosomal RNA
Rfam family: Bacterial small subunit ribosomal RNA
Source: RNAcentral
GGCGAGUGGCGGACGGGUGAGUAACGCGUGGGAAUCUGCCCUCAGGAGGGGGAUAACGGCCGGAAACGGCCGCUAAUACCCCAUAUGCCGAGAGGUGAAAUGAAUUUCGCCUGAGGAUGAGCCCGCGUCUGAUUAGCUAGUUGGUGGGGUAAUGGCCCACCAAGGCGACGAUCAGUAGCUGGUCUGAGAGGAUGAUCAGCCACACUGGGACUGAGACACGGCCCAGACUCCUACGGGAGGCAGCAGUGGGGAAUUUUCCGCAAUGGGCGAAAGCCUGACGGAGCAACGCCGCGUGAGGGAUGAAGGCCUCUGGGCUGUAAACCUCUUUUCUCAAGGAAGAAGACAUGACGGUACUUGAGGAAUAAGCCACGGCUAAUUCCGUGCCAGCAGCCGCGGUAAUACGGGAGUGGCAAGCGUUAUCCGGAAUUAUUGGGCGUAAAGCGUCCGCAGGCGGCCUUGUAAGUCUGUCGUUAAAGCGUGGAGCUUAACUCCAUUUCAGCGAUGGAAACUACAAGGCUUGAGUGUGGUAGGGGCAGAGGGAAUUCCCGGUGUAGCGGUGAAAUGCGUAGAUAUCGGGAAGAACACCAGUGGCGAAGGCGCUCUGCUGGGCCAUAACUGACGCUCAUGGACGAAAGCCAGGGGAGCGAAAGGGAUUAGAUACCCCUGUAGUCCUGGCCGUAAACGAUGAACACUAGGUGUCGGGGGAAUCGACCCCCUCGGUGUCGUAGCUAACGCGUUAAGUGUUCCGCCUGGGGAGUACGCACGCAAGUGUGAAACUCAAAGGAAUUGACGGGGGCCCGCACAAGCGGUGGAGUAUGUGGUUUAAUUCGAUGCAACGCGAAGAACCUUACCAGGGUUUGACAUCCUGCGAAUCCCUUGGAAACGAGGGAGUGCCUUCGGGAGCGCAGAGACAGGUGGUGCAUGGCUGUCGUCAGCUCGUGUCGUGAGAUGUUGGGUUAAGUCCCGCAACGAGCGCAACCCACGUCUUUAGUUGCCAGCAUUCAGUUGGGCACUCUAGAGAGACCGCCGGUGAUAAACCGGAGGAAGGUGUGGAUGACGUCAAGUCAUCAUGCCCCUUACAUCCUGGGCUACACACGUACUACAAUGCUACGGACAAAGGGUUGCAAGCUCGCGAGAGUUAGCUAAUCCCAUAAACCGUGGCUCAGUUCAGAUCGUAGGCUGCAACUCGCCUACGUGAAGGAGGAAUCGCUAGUAAUCGCAGGUCAGCAUACUGCGGUGAAUACGUUCCCGGGCCUUGUACACACCGCCCGUCACACCAUGGAAGUUGGCCAUGCCCGAAGUCGUUACUCCAACCCUUGUGGAGGAGGACGCCGAAGGUGGGGCUGAUGACUGGGGUGAAGUCGUAACAAGGUAGCCGUACCGGAAGGUGCGGCUGGAUCACCUCCU